GACGAACGCUGGCGGCGCGCCUAACACAUGCAAGUCGAACGAGCGAGAGAGAGCUUGCUUUCUCGAGCGAGUGGCGAACGGGUGAGUAACGCGUGAGGAACCUGCCUCAAAGAGGGGGACAACAGUUGGAAACGACUGCUAAUACCGCAUAAGCCCACAGCUCGGCAUCGAGCAGAGGGAAGAGGAGUGAUCCGCUUUGAGAUGGCCUCGCGUCCGAUUAGCUGGUUGGUGAGGUAACGGCCCACCAAGGCGACGAUCGGUAGCCGGACUGAGAGGUUGAACGGCCACAUUGGGACUGAGACACGGCCCAGACUCCUACGGGAGGCAGCAGUGGGGAAUAUUGCACAAUGGGGGAAACCCUGAUGCAGCGACGCCGCGUGGAGGAAGAAGGUCUUCGGAUUGUAAACUCCUGUUGUUGAGGAAGAUAAUGACGGUACUCAACAAGGAAGUGACGGCUAACUACGUGCCAGCAGCCGCGGUAAAACGUAGGUCACAAGCGUUGUCCGGAAUUACUGGGUGUAAAGGGAGCGCAGGCGGGAAAGCAAGUUGGAAGUGAAAUCCAUGGGCUCAACCCAUGAACUGCUUUCAAAACUGUUUUUCUUGAGUAGUGCAGAGGUAGGCGGAAUUCCCGGUGUAGCGGUGGAAUGCGUAGAUAUCGGGAGGAACACCAGUGGCGAAGGCGGCCUACUGGGCACCAACUGACGCUGAGGCUCGAAAGUGUGGGUAGCAAACA
This 733-nucleotide ribosomal RNA is filed under the name uncultured bacterium. Its description in RNAcentral is "bacterial SSU rRNA". It matches the Rfam family "Bacterial small subunit ribosomal RNA", at positions 28 to 774 of the family's 1533-position model. The record is from RNAcentral.